UAUAACAUAUUAAGUUUUUUUUAGAUAUUUUAAGUUGUUAACAAUUGUAAUUUAUAAUACUUUUUAUAUAAUUUUUGAAUAAUAUAUGCUACGCUCCUUGCCCAAAAUUUUGUGUCGACGACAGCCAAUUAUAUUUUAAAAAUAAUUUAAAUUUUUGAUCAUGGUGAUUUAUAAUAUUUUUUCUAUCUCAACUUAUGUGGCACAAUGCUUACAUGACCAUAAUAAUUAAUUAGGGGUGAUAUAGUAAAAUCACGACUU
RNAcentral lists this long non-coding RNA (258 nucleotides) under Capsicum annuum. Its description in RNAcentral is "long non-coding RNA (CANN_LNC002330)". The record is from RNAcentral. Lineage: Eukaryota; Viridiplantae; Streptophyta; Magnoliopsida; Solanales; Solanaceae.